AUUGAACGCUGGCGGCAGGCUUAACACAUGCAAGUCGAGCGGAGACUUCGGUCUUAGCGGCGAACGGGUGAGGAAUGCCUGGGAAUCUGCCUGUUAGGUGGGGGAUAACGAAUCGAAAGGUUCGCUAAUACCGCAUACGUCCUACGGGAGAAAGCGGGGGACCUUCGGGCCUUGCGCUAACAGAUGAGCCCAGGUCGGAUUAGCUAGUAGGUGGGGUAAAGGCUCACCUAGGCGACGAUCCGUAGCUGGUCUGAGAGGAUGAUCAGCCACACUGGAACUGAGACACGGUCCAGACUCCUACGGGAGGCAGCAGUGGGGAAUAUUGGACAAUGGGCGAAAGCCUGAUCCAGCCAUGCCGCGUGUGUGAAG
RNAcentral lists this ribosomal RNA (369 nucleotides) under uncultured bacterium. RNAcentral describes it as "bacterial SSU rRNA". It matches the Rfam family "Bacterial small subunit ribosomal RNA", at positions 30 to 410 of the family's 1533-position model. The record is from RNAcentral.